AUUGAACGCUGGCGGCAGGCCUAACACAUGCAAGUCGAACGGUAACAGGAAGCAGCUUGCUGCCUCGCUGACGAGUGGCGGACGGGUGAGUAAUGUCUGGGAAACUGCCUGAUGGAGGGGGAUAACUACUGGAAACGGUAGCUAAUACCGCAUAACGUCGCAAGACCAAAGAGGGGGACCUUAGGGCCUCUUGCCAUCGGAUGUGCCCAGAUGGGAUUAGCUAGUAGGUGGGGUAACGGCUCACCUAGGCGACGAUCCCUAGCUGGUCUGAGAGGAUGACCAGCCACACUGGAACUGAGACACGGUCCAGACUCCUACGGGAGGCAGCAGUGGGGAAUAUUGCACAAUGGGCGCAAGCCUGAUGCAGCCAUGCCGCGUGUAUGAAGAAGGCCUUCGGGUUGUAAAGUACUUUCAGCGGGGAGGAAGGGAGUAAAGUUAAUACCUUUGCUCAUUGACGUUACCCGCAGAAGAAGCACCGGCUAACUCCGUG
RNAcentral lists this ribosomal RNA (490 nucleotides) under uncultured bacterium. RNAcentral describes it as "partial 16S ribosomal RNA". It matches the Rfam family "Bacterial small subunit ribosomal RNA", at positions 30 to 507 of the family's 1533-position model. The record is from RNAcentral.